GACGAACGCUGGCGGCGUGCUUAACACAUGCAAGUCGAACGGAAAGGCCCUGCUUUUGUUGGGUGCUCGAUUGGCGAACGGGUGAGUAACACGUGAGUAACCUGCCCUUUACUUUGGGAUAACUUCAGGAAACUUGGGCUAAUACCGGAUAGGAGCUCCUGCUGCAUGGUGGGGGUUGGAAAGUUUCGGCGGUUGGGGAUGGACUCGCGGCUUAUCAGCUUGUUGGUGGGGUAGUGGCUUACCAAGGCUUUGACGGGUAGCCGGCAUGAGAGGGUGACCGGCGACAAUGGGACUGAGAGACGGCACAGAAUGCAACGGGAGGCAGCAGUGGGGAAUAGUGCAGAAUGGGAGGAAGCAUGAUGCAGAAACGCCGGGAGCGGGAAGACGGCCUUCGGGUUGUAAAAAGAUUUAGACUGUGACGAAGCGUGAGUGACGGUAAUGGGUAAAGAAGCACCGGCUAACUACGUG
Molecule: ribosomal RNA, 468 nt
Filed under: uncultured bacterium
Lineage: Bacteria
Description: partial 16S ribosomal RNA
Rfam family: Bacterial small subunit ribosomal RNA
Source: RNAcentral